This 2900-nucleotide ribosomal RNA is filed under the name Escherichia coli. RNAcentral describes it as "23S ribosomal RNA". It matches the Rfam family "Bacterial large subunit ribosomal RNA". Lineage: Bacteria; Pseudomonadati; Pseudomonadota; Gammaproteobacteria; Enterobacterales; Enterobacteriaceae. The record is from RNAcentral.
GGUUAAGCGACUAAGCGUACACGGUGGAUGCCCUGGCAGUCAGAGGCGAUGAAGGACGUGCUAAUCUGCGAUAAGCGUCGGUAAGGUGAUAUGAACCGUUAUAACCGGCGAUUUCCGAAUGGGGAAACCCAGUGUGAUUCGUCACACUAUCAUUAACUGAAUCCAUAGGUUAAUGAGGCGAACCGGGGAACUGAAACAUCUAAGUACCCCGAGGAAAAGAAAUCAACCGAGAUUCCCCCAGUAGCGGCGAGCGAACGGGGAGCAGCCCAGAGCCUGAAUCAGUGUGUGUGUUAGUGGAAGCGUCUGGAAAGGCGCGCGAUACAGGGUGACAGCCCCGUACACAAAAAUGCACAUGCUGUGAGCUCGAUGAGUAGGGCGGGACACGUGGUAUCCUGUCUGAAUAUGGGGGGACCAUCCUCCAAGGCUAAAUACUCCUGACUGACCGAUAGUGAACCAGUACCGUGAGGGAAAGGCGAAAAGAACCCCGGCGAGGGGAGUGAAAAAGAACCUGAAACCGUGUACGUACAAGCAGUGGGAGCACGCUUAGGCGUGUGACUGCGUACCUUUUGUAUAAUGGGUCAGCGACUUAUAUUCUGUAGCAAGGUUAACCGAAUAGGGGAGCCGAAGGGAAACCGAGUCUUAACUGGGCGUUAAGUUGCAGGGUAUAGACCCGAAACCCGGUGAUCUAGCCAUGGGCAGGUUGAAGGUUGGGUAACACUAACUGGAGGACCGAACCGACUAAUGUUGAAAAAUUAGCGGAUGACUUGUGGCUGGGGGUGAAAGGCCAAUCAAACCGGGAGAUAGCUGGUUCUCCCGAAAGCUAUUUAGGUAGCGCCUCGUGAAUUCAUCUCCGGGGGUAGAGCACUGUUUCGGCAAGGGGGUCAUCCCGACUUACCAACCCGAUGCAAACUGCGAAUACCGGAGAAUGUUAUCACGGGAGACACACGGCGGGUGCUAACGUCCGUCGUGAAGAGGGAAACAACCCAGACCGCCAGCUAAGGUCCCAAAGUCAUGGUUAAGUGGGAAACGAUGUGGGAAGGCCCAGACAGCCAGGAUGUUGGCUUAGAAGCAGCCAUCAUUUAAAGAAAGCGUAAUAGCUCACUGGUCGAGUCGGCCUGCGCGGAAGAUGUAACGGGGCUAAACCAUGCACCGAAGCUGCGGCAGCGACGCUGAUGCGUUGUUGGGUAGGGGAGCGUUCUGUAAGCCUGCGAAGGUGUGCUGUGAGGUAUGCUGGAGGUAUCAGAAGUGCGAAUGCUGACAUAAGUAACGAUAAAGCGGGUGAAAAGCCCGCUCGCCGGAAGACCAAGGGUUCCUGUCCAACGUUAAUCGGGGCAGGGUGAGUCGACCCCUAAGGCGAGGCCGAAAGGCGUAGUCGAUGGGAAACAGGUUAAUAUUCCUGUACUUGGUGUUACUGCGAAGGGGGACGGAGAAGGCUAUGUUGGCCGGGCGACGGUUGUCCCGGUUUAAGCGUGUAGGCUGGUUUUCCAGGCAAAUCCGGAAAAUCAAGGCUGAGGCGUGAUGACGAGGCACUACGGUGCUGAAGCAACAAAUGCCCUGCUUCCAGGAAAAGCCUCUAAGCAUCAGGUAACAUCAAAUCGUACCCCAAACCGACACAGGUGGUCAGGUAGAGAAUACCAAGGCGCUUGAGAGAACUCGGGUGAAGGAACUAGGCAAAAUGGUGCCGUAACUUCGGGAGAAGGCACGCUGAUAUGUAGGUGAAGUCCCUCGCGGAUGGAGCUGAAAUCAGUCGAAGAUACCAGCUGGCUGCAACUGUUUAUUAAAAACACAGCACUGUGCAAACACGAAAGUGGACGUAUACGGUGUGACGCCUGCCCGGUGCCGGAAGGUUAAUUGAUGGGGUCAGCGCAAGCGAAGCUCUUGAUCGAAGCCCCGGUAAACGGCGGCCGUAACUAUAACGGUCCUAAGGUAGCGAAAUUCCUUGUCGGGUAAGUUCCGACCUGCACGAAUGGCGUAAUGAUGGCCAGGCUGUCUCCACCCGAGACUCAGUGAAAUUGAACUCGCUGUGAAGAUGCAGUGUACCCGCGGCAAGACGGAAAGACCCCGUGAACCUUUACUAUAGCUUGACACUGAACAUUGAGCCUUGAUGUGUAGGAUAGGUGGGAGGCUUUGAAGUGUGGACGCCAGUCUGCAUGGAGCCGACCUUGAAAUACCACCCUUUAAUGUUUGAUGUUCUAACGUGGACCCGUAAUCCGGGUUGCGGACAGUGUCUGGUGGGUAGUUUGACUGGGGCGGUCUCCUCCUAAAGAGUAACGGAGGAGCACGAAGGUUGGCUAAUCCUGGUCGGACAUCAGGAGGUUAGUGCAAUGGCAUAAGCCAGCUUGACUGCGAGCGUGACGGCGCGAGCAGGUGCGAAAGCAGGUCAUAGUGAUCCGGUGGUUCUGAAUGGAAGGGCCAUCGCUCAACGGAUAAAAGGUACUCCGGGGAUAACAGGCUGAUACCGCCCAAGAGUUCAUAUCGACGGCGGUGUUUGGCACCUCGAUGUCGGCUCAUCACAUCCUGGGGCUGAAGUAGGUCCCAAGGGUAUGGCUGUUCGCCAUUUAAAGUGGUACGCGAGCUGGGUUUAGAACGUCGUGAGACAGUUCGGUCCCUAUCUGCCGUGGGCGCUGGAGAACUGAGGGGGCUGCUCCUAGUACGAGAGGACCGGAGUGGACGCAUCACUGGUGUUCGGGUUGUCAUGCCAAUGGCACUGCCCGGUAGCUAAAUGCGGAAGAGAUAAGUGCUGAAAGCAUCUAAGCACGAAACUUGCCCCGAGAUGAGUUCUCCCUGACUCCUUGAGAGUCCUGAAGGAACGUUGAAGACGACGACGUUGAUAGGCCGGGUGUGUAAGCGCAGCGAUGCGUUGAGCUAACCGGUACUAAUGAACCGUGAGGCUUAACCUU